This is a long non-coding RNA of Oreochromis aureus, 310 nucleotides long. The record is from Ensembl. NCBI's taxonomy places the organism in Eukaryota, Metazoa, Chordata, Actinopteri, Cichliformes, Cichlidae.
GAGAAAGGAAAAGUCCGAGCUGUCACGGAGCAAAAACGGGAGCUGGAAGCAUGUAAAUAUAAUAAUAACCACUGCAGCCAAGAAGAGUGCCUGACGAGCCCAUUUAGAAUACAAAGUGGAUAGAGGAGGUCUGGAUGGAUAUGAGUCUCCUUUACAACACAUGAGAGGUCUACAUUUCCUUCACACAGGUCCGGAUUGUGGGAGCAGCACUCUAUGCAUAGAUGCCCGUACAGAUCCACCUCCCUCAGCUUUUCCUAGGGCACACCAAGGCGGAUUAAUCAAUCUGUUUAUUAUUGUGGGAAAAAAAAUG